RNAcentral lists this long non-coding RNA (1377 nucleotides) under Anthonomus grandis grandis. RNAcentral's name for it is "uncharacterized LOC126736442". The record is from RNAcentral. Lineage: Eukaryota; Metazoa; Arthropoda; Insecta; Coleoptera; Curculionidae.
GACGCCACUAAAAAGCACCCGAUUCCCGGCGGUGAUCGUGUAUGUUCGAAGAAAAAUUCGGUCGUUUGACGUGAAUGACAAGAAUAACGACACGAAUGUUCCCGCGUUUGUUAGUUGUUUACUUACGUAAAAAAGCUCCAACUAAUUUGAUCAAUUAUUGCGAUUAUACUGAAUUUGUUUCUUUGUGAAAUAUUGACCAUAUUGUUGCUUAUAGUGUUUUAAAAUAAUACCUGAAAAGCUGUAUCAAUUCCAAUUCAGCGAUUUUAGCUGUAAAAAUGGACGGCCCUACUCAAAACUAUCAGAAUCAGGACCAAACUAUCAACAAAAAUUUGUGCCACUUAUGCAGUAAAAUGUUUUCUUCCAUUUCAGCAUUGAACAAACAUAUUAAAGUUAUUCAUAAGCAGCAGCUCCCAGAUAACCCAAAGUCACACAUUUCUUGUCCCUUAUGCAAAGAGACUAAGUAUUCUUGUGAGACUUAUUAAAGACUUGAAGCUCAUUUACAGGUUAAGUCAUGAUAUCAAAAUAGAGUCGUCAACUUUCCAUUUUUCCAGCGAAGAAACAUUUGAGGAAUGGUUAAGAGAGCAUAAAAUAAGCACAAACUAUGCACUUGUUCACACAAGGAAAAUUGAAGACAAGAUUAAAAAAGUAUAUUGUUGCAAUCGAAGUGAUUUUAGAGGUAAUUUGUAGCAAUUUCAAUUGUUCAUUAUGGUAUGUGAGCAAAGGAAGGGAAGCGAUUCUGUUUUAGGUGAACUCCUCGGGCAAUGUUCUUUCAAUAAUAUUGAAGCUAGCCAUAGUCUAGAAAUUGAAACAUUUGUUAAUGAAAAGACAACUAAAAAUCAACAAGUAGCAGUACAACGAUUGAACAAGCAAUCAACAAGAGAAAUUGAAAGUGUAUCAAACUUUUUAAGAUCUUUAAAUGAUGAAACUUAUGAUAAGUGCAUGAGACAACUGACAUCAAUGAUGGAACAGAUAAAUAAGACAAAUACAAGUAAACGAAAAAUGGACAAACAAGUUUAUUUUCCAUCAAAGAAGAAGAAGGAGCAGUAAAUAAAAAUAAUUAAAUGUAUAUUUUUUCUAUUUAUCAGUAUUUUUUUUUAUAUAAUAGUAGGUAUAUUUUUAUAGGUUUAACUAUAUAUGUAUGUAUAUGUGUAUUAUAAUUUUUUAUGUAAGUUUUAGGCAAAUAUUUGAAGUAAAUAUUUUAAGUUUCUUGCAGUUUCUUCUUAUGAGUAUUAAUCGAAACUGCGAAUUGUAAAUUAGUAUUUUAGCAUAAAAUAAUUAAGUUUCUUUUCAAAUCAGUCAUAUACAUGUCUUUGCAGCAUUUAUAAAAUAAAAAUUGUUAAUAUAUGAUACAUUUAUAUAACAGUAUAACUAAUUAAA